RNAcentral lists this ribosomal RNA (253 nucleotides) under uncultured bacterium. Its description in RNAcentral is "partial 16S ribosomal RNA". It matches the Rfam family "Bacterial small subunit ribosomal RNA", at positions 524 to 776 of the family's 1533-position model. The record is from RNAcentral.
UACGUAGGGUGCAAGCGUUGUCCGGAAUUAUUGGGCGUAAAGAGCUCGUAGGCGGCCUGUCGCGUCGGCUGUGAAAACCCGGGGCUCAACCCCGGGCCUGCAGUCGAUACGGGCAGGCUAGAGUUCGGCAGGGGAGACUGGAAUUCCUGGUGUAGCGGUGAAAUGCGCAGAUAUCAGGAGGAACACCGGUGGCGAAGGCGGGUCUCUGGGCCGAUACUGACGCUGAGGAGCGAAAGCGUGGGGAGCGAACAGG